This 678-nucleotide ribosomal RNA is filed under the name Cosmoderes sp. UFIFAS UFFE 13956. RNAcentral describes it as "partial large subunit ribosomal RNA". It matches the Rfam family "Eukaryotic large subunit ribosomal RNA", at positions 400 to 850 of the family's 3401-position model. The record is from RNAcentral. Lineage: Eukaryota; Metazoa; Arthropoda; Insecta; Coleoptera; Curculionidae.
UGAAACCGUUUAGGGGUAAACCUGAGAAACCCGAAAGGUCGAAGGAAGAAAUUCAUUCGAGUCUCGAUGUUAACGAUAAACGAGUUGUAUGACAAAAAUUGCUUGCAGUUUUUGCAUCAUUCAUUUGUCGAGUUUUCAACGAACUCGUGCACUUUUCUUCUGGUAGGACGUCGUGAUCCGUUGAGUGUCGGUCUAAGGAGUGUGGUGGAGUCCGUCUAAAAUUAUUUAGAUGAACCCAUGCUUUUCCAGCCGACUCGCUCGACGGUAUGCAAAUGGUUUAAGGCCGCUUUUAAGCGUUCGGCUCAUGGCAAGCGCGCCAGAUGCAUGUCAAAGAUCGGACCUAGUGCCGAUCUCGACCUCUGGUGACUGUUGGCUAUGAAGUUCUCGAACAGACCUCUAACCAAUCAGCGACGCUAUAGCUUUGGGUACUUUCAGGACCCGUCUUGAAACACGGACCAAGGAGUCUAGCAUGUGCGCGAGUCAUUGGGAAUUAUUAAACCUAAAGGCGCAAUGAAAGUGAAAAAUCUCCUUGUGAGAUUUGAGGGAAGACAAGCGAUUUGCCUUUAAAGUGAUCGUUUUGCAUUCCCGGGGCGUCUCGUUCACAUUACGUGAAGAGGCGCACCAAGAGCGUACACGCUGGGACCCGAAAGAUGGUGAACUAUGCCUGGUCAGGACGAA